RNA transcript from Solanum stenotomum, 2234 nucleotides. It is a transcript of the gene named tRNA (guanine(37)-N1)-methyltransferase 1, with no coding region annotated. The record is from RefSeq and is a predicted model, not a curated record. NCBI's taxonomy places the organism in Eukaryota, Viridiplantae, Streptophyta, Magnoliopsida, Solanales, Solanaceae. The transcript has 11 exons.
AGACACAUUUGCAACAGAAAGGGUUAAACUUCAAAUAAUGGCGCUCUAUCCAUUGCCCACCGCCAUUAUACUCAACAGAAUCACUCCUUUUGCUUGCCGCUUUUUCCCCAAACCUCUCUCUUCUUCCCUCUUCUCCGCCUCCGCCGCCGCCGCGAUUACCGCAACCUUACCCCAACACCUUUCCUAUGGACCUUCCCUCUACAAAGGCCACAAAACUUCAGACCAAAACUCCGAUGAAGAAAACUUCACUAGAGUCUUCGAUAUCACUGCUUUACGAGUCCCUGCAGAACAAUGUUUCUCACUCGAGAGCAGAUUACGCGGACACCUUUUAAAUUGGCCGCGCAUUCGUAACAUUGCUAGGGUUGCCGGUGACGAUAUUGAUGACGAAUUGAAGGAGUUUAUUGGAAAUGAUAUUAGUACUGAUGAUGAAACCCUAACAGUAUUGGAACGGAGAAUUUACGGGAAAGGUGAAGGUGAUGGGGAGAAAAUGUGUUCGGUGUUGUAUAGAGAUAAGCUUGCGAAGACUUUCAAUUCGAUAGGAUAUGUGAAGUUUGAGAAUUUGGCUAAAAUAUCGCGGCCGAAGAAGAAGAAAUGGAAGAGAGAGGAAAAAGAGGGAAAUGGAAGUGAGAGGAGAGGGUAUGGGAGAAGUGAUAUGUCAAUGGUGGAGGUGGUUGAAGAAGAGGGGAGUGGAGAUGAGGAUUUCAGUGGGUUAUUGGGUGAUGAUUUUAGAAGAAGAAAAUGGAGUGGAUCGACGAGGUUAUUGCUAUUGGAUGAGAGGUACGCGAGGAAGGGGAUAGAGGAAAUGCCCGAGGCAAUUAAGGCAGUCCUCAAAGAACACAAUGAGGAGAGUACAAGAUUAAGUUUUGAAAUUGUGAGAUGCAAGUUGACAUUAUUAUACAAUUAUUGGCAAAUGAAUGAGGUCUUAGAAGUCUUGCUUCCACAAGGAAUGAUUGUUCCUUCAGCUUUUGAGACAGUUGGGCAUAUUGCCCAUCUAAACUUGAGAGAUGAGCAUUUCCCAUACAAGAAACUUAUUGCAAAGGUAGUUCUGGACAAGAACAAGCCGAAGAUACAAACAGUUGUCAAUAAAACUGAUGUCAUCCACAAUGACUACAGAACAAUGCAGCUCGAAGUUCUGGCAGGAAAUCAUUCUCUUGUUACUACUGUAGUCGAGAAUGGACUCUAUUUUGAUGUUGAUUUAGCAGCAGUAUAUUGGAAUUCUAGGCUGGCAACCGAAAGACAAAGGCUUCUUAGUUGCUUCACCAACAAUGAUGUGGUUUGUGAUGUUUUUGCUGGGGUGGGUCCCAUUGCAAUAUCUGCUGCGAAGAAGGUCAAAUAUGUAUAUGCUAAUGAUUUGAACCCUAAUGCUGUUGAAUAUCUGGAGAGAAACUGUGUCCAUAACAAACUUGAGAGGAAGAUUGAGAUUUUUAACAUGGAUGGGAGGAGGUUCAUUGACAGCAUUUUUGCAAGUGAAAAAGCUAGGCCAAUUACUCAAGUAGUAAUGAAUUUGCCAAAUGAUGCUGCAGAAUUUCUUGAUUCUUUUAGAGGAAUUUUCAGAAAUAAGCACGCGGAUAAGCAAUUUACCUUGCCAAGGAUUCAUGUAUAUGGUUUUUCGAAAGCUCAGGAUCCUGAAUUCGAUUUUCAUGAGAAAAUCAGGAUUGCACUGUCUGAGGUGGCUUUUGAGGUACAGAUGCACAAGGUUCGCCUUGUUGCACCAGGAAAAUGGAUGUUGUGUGCAUCAUUUGUUCUACCUGAGACAGUGGCAUUUGCUAAAUAAACUCGGACAUUCAUGUAAGCAACAUGGGAAGAGAAAUAAAGCAAGGUGUAGGUGAAGGAGGGAGGGAGGGAAGUCCGUUGACGUUCAAGUGUAGGAGCAUUGCAGCACAAAUAGGAAAGCAGAAUUUGCUGAGAGUGAGCUGUGUCCUUCAGAUAAACUUUGAACAACGCAGAUGUGGACUAGUUUGGAAGUGGGUAUAAAGGUGAAGAUCGAUUGUAGUACUCUACUAUCUAAUUUUGGUUGCCUAAAUAUACGGAUUUGAACGUCUUUUGCAGUUAUGAUGCACCAUGUCUUUUAGAGAAUGUAUAUAUAUACAUACAACUGUAGUGUGUGGAAAUUGUAGCUUUACUGUGGACCAUUAUAGUAGUCAUCUCACUUUUCAUUUUGAACAGCACCCUAUCGGCUAUCUAGACUUUGAAAGAAAUCACAGCAAUGGUAUCCAGUUGUGGAUCUUAUAUUC